ACCCCAAACCGACACAGGUGGUCAGGUAGAGAAUACCAAGGCGCUUGAGAGAACUCGGGUGAAGGAACUAGGCAAAAUGGUGCCGUAACUUCGGGAGAAGGCACGCUGAUAUGUAGGUGAGGUCCCUUGCGGAUGGAGCUGAAAUCAGUCGAAGAUACCAGCUGGCUGCAACUGUUUAUUAAAAACACAGCACUGUGCAAACACGAAAGUGGACGUAUACGGUGUGACGCCUGCCCGGUGCCGGAAGG
RNAcentral lists this ribosomal RNA (248 nucleotides) under Escherichia coli. RNAcentral describes it as "partial 23S ribosomal RNA". It matches the Rfam family "Bacterial large subunit ribosomal RNA", at positions 1646 to 1876 of the family's 2925-position model. Lineage: Bacteria; Pseudomonadati; Pseudomonadota; Gammaproteobacteria; Enterobacterales; Enterobacteriaceae. The record is from RNAcentral.